Hordeum vulgare subsp. vulgare (domesticated barley) is the source of this 2472-nucleotide long non-coding RNA. RefSeq lists it as uncharacterized. NCBI's taxonomy places the organism in Eukaryota, Viridiplantae, Streptophyta, Magnoliopsida, Poales, Poaceae. The record is from RefSeq and is a predicted model, not a curated record. The transcript has 2 exons.
AUCUUAUGAGUUUCACCUCUAGCCUACCCCAACUUGUUUGGGACUAAAGGCUUUGUUUUUGUUGUUUAAAUAAUAUUGAGUUAAAUAAUAGUUGUUGUUAUAUCGCAGAUACGAACAUAAAAUCGAUUUUUUGAAUAUCAUAAAAUGUUUAAAGUCGAACAAAGGAAGAUUAUUAUCACACAUACAAACAUCGUUCAAACAUCAUUGUCUCACAUACAAGUAACACAAAGUGCUAUUAAGGCGAACAAAAUAAAUAUGUUGAAGUUAUUACAAGGUUCUCCCAAGAAAAACAUACACCACAAAGCUAUUCCUCAAGGGAAGACACUCACAGCAAUAGCAUCACGUGUUGUACCCAUAUUAUCCUCAUCAUAGGGUGCAAAGUGAUGAGAAACGCUCUCCUCGUGAACAUAGGACCCAUUCUCAACCUUGUGGAAAUGCUCAUCACGCAGUUUGCUCUCACGGAUGUAGUUAUGAAGAUAUGUGCAUGCAGUAAUUAUCAUUGUUUGCGUACCAACUUUGUAACGUCUGAUGCCAAGAAGGAUUCUCCAUUUCAUCUUGAGAACACCAAAUGAUCUUUCAAUGACGUUUCGUAGUGAGGAAUGUCGAUGAUUGAAGGUCUCAUUUCUCCCUCGUGGAGGUACUUGCUGGAAAUCAGGAACAUGGUAUCGUUGUCCUUUGUAUGGUGCUAGAUACCCAUCUCGGUUAGGAACUUAGGAUAUCCGGAGUCAACAAGAUAGUAUUUUCCUGUGGUGAUGAAAAAAAUACAAUGAAGACCAGUAAGUUAAAGAAGAGAAAUGGUACUGUAAUAGAAUGCCUGCACUAGUCAUUACCGUUGGGAGGGUGUGGGAAACUGGAAUAUUCAGCUCGUGCAUCAGCCCAUACACACGUGUCAUGAACAGAUCCAGGCCAUCCAACAAAAAAAAAAUGAACCUCAUGUCGAAAUCACAAAUUGCCAUGACAUUCUGACUGAUGAAAUAUUUUCCGUGGCGGUAUUUAGGUUGCUCUGCUUCCGGCACAACGCAAGGAAUGUGUGUUCCAUCUAUGGCCCCAAUAGCAUUCUGGAAGUGAGGCCAAAAUCUUGUUUUUUUCUAGCGAGUCAUGAACUUGGCUGAAAGUUUCAUCUUUGGGUCGAAGUCAGGGUGGCAAACCAAGAACUGCUCGCAUUUGCCCCUCCCAAGAAGACCCUGAAGCAGCUCGAGAAAAUACAACGUGGAUUUCUUUGAGCCGGCCGCGCCACCGCGAACGGAGGGCACUGCCAUGUCAAUUGGCGCCACACUUGCCGCCCUGUAGAAUAUGGCUGCCUUGGGAUUCAUGAUCUGGAGCGCUUCGGCUGCGAUGGAUGUGGUUUGCCCGCACGGAUGCUGGUCGAACAUGGCAGGGACUGGACCUCCAGUUCUCUAAAGAGGAGAGUGAGAUGUUCUUUGCAUCCACCACUAUGGUGCUUGGAGACGGACUGACAGCCCUUUCUGGGAGGACUGCUGGAUAACGGGUAAUCCCCCGGGAACUCGCCCCCUUGUUAUACCAGUGCAUCCCCGAGCGGCGACGCAGGACGAGAACAGUGGCAGAGGGCCUCCACAGGAACACUGUUCCUGGGCCCGUGACAUCCAAGGGACCCUUGGAUACACGAGAUCGGUCAGUACCUGAUGCUCUGGCAGGCCAUCCAACAUUUCGCCCUCUCGGCUGAACCUGACCGGCUGCUCUGGAGAUGGACGGCCAGCGGCAUAUAUACGGUGCAGUCUUGCUACACCGCCACAUUCCUAGGAUCCACUCGCUGUCCCUCCUGGAAGCUCAUCUGGAAGGGUUGGGCGCCGCCCCGCGUCAAAUUCUUCCACUGGUUCGCCAACCAAGACAGAUGCUGGACGGCAGAGUGACUUGCCCAACGCGGCCUGCAGCACCACCCCAAAUGCCUCCUCUGCGACCAAGACCCAGAGACCAUCCAGCACCUGCUCCUGGCGUGCCCAUUCGCAAACUUGGCGCAUCAUCCUGGACUGGGCACACAUACCUGCGCCACCAGGUACCGAACCUACCAUGCUGGACUGGUGGCAGCGAGCGAAGGCACAGACCCCGUCCACACUCCACAAGACUCUACAAUCCAUCACAAUGCUUGUCGCUUGGAUGAUUUGGAAACAAAGGAACAAAUGGAAUGUGUCUUCGACAAUGCGAGACCCUCUUACAUUAGCUGAUAGGAUCAAAGUAGAGGCCAAAUGCUGGGCACAAGCUGGGGAACAGGGGCUGAGGGUUGUGCUGCCCGGCUCCUGGGAUGUCCAUUGAUGGGGCAUUGGCCUUGUAACCAUUACCUCCUAGGAGGUUUGUACUCUCCCACCUUUUCAGUGAAAUGAAACGCAAAGAGCUCUUUGCAUUUUCUCGAAAAACAAGGAUACCAAGGUGGAAAUAGCACCGUCGUUGGAAGUCCAAAUAUAUGUUUCCCAUUGGGCACCCGAAAACCAUAAUAAAAUGCAGUUUUACCUGUUU